UUUGGAGCCGGUAGGUCAAUUUUGGCUCUAGCUAAAAUGUGAGUCAUCGGCUUGCAAGAUACACGUCCUUCCUCUAUUCUUCCUUAUCCGGUCACCGCUUCCUGCAUCGAAUUACGUUACCCCGCUUCAUAUCGAAGCUUAUACAGGGAUGGGAUUCAGUUGAUUCCUGAUUACUCUCUCGGAGGUGUCUGCCUCUACCUCCAUUGAAGCAAGCAAGCAGACAUUCCAGUUUAUGCCGAUGUUGACGGUGCCCUAAUCAUAUCAGUUACCGACGAUAUUUCAUCACCAACUCCAGUGCUUCUCCAACCUUUUGAUAAUCUCGAUCAAAACCCAGUAUGCCAUAUUCAUUCUUUCCAUUUGAUUAGACUUUCUUCGUUGAGAUCGUCGGCCCUCAUGCCGCCGACUGCCCAACGCCACCACUGAUGGUCUUCACACUUUCUACAGAAAGUUAUGUUUUUUAAGCUUAUCAGAAUUGAACUCGGUUUGGAUUCCUCUUUAUCUUCGACUCAUAUUUUCCAAUGUUUUGAGGCAGUGUCUGGUCGACGGUUUUUCGAUUUGUAUACAUCUAAGUAGAAGGUGAAGCCUGUUUACCCAGAAUGUUAUAUUAAAUUUGGCGAGUUUAAAAGUAGAUGGCGUAUGUUCUGCUCCAUGUGACACUCCUGUAUUGAAACUGCUAUGAUGCCUGAAGAUUACAGACAAAAUAAGGUUAGUCGCCACAUGCUUCACCUGGCACAAAAUGGCUAAAGAGCAAAUACCUGAGCAUCCUAUUUUGAGAUCAGUUGUAGAUAUAUUAGGGAAAACUCCUUCAACAUUGAUCAUUUUUGCUAUAUCUGCCAUAAUCAAAAUCAUUCUAUAAAUUAAAUUAUUUAGAUAUGAAGUUUGUUUUGAUGUAGGCAAGCCUUUUGAGAGGUGAGUAUAACACAGUGAAUAACUAUGAGAUGGUUGGAUUUGACUUUUGAGAAAUAAAUUAAGCUAACAAUGUAAGUUUAAACACUAAUGUACUUUAAACAAUAUCAGUGUAAAUUAAGCUGAAAAUGUAAGUUUAGAUGAAAAUCAUCAAAUAGUCAAAAAAAAACCAUUCCUUCAAACAUGUUCUAUUUCAUUAGAGUAAACACCAAAAAUAGCAACAAAUCUAAAAGAAUACAUUCCGACCCAUAGAUACAUCCAGAUACAAGUGAUAAUUGUAAACUAUUCACAUAGGUACAUCCAUAUACAAAUAUCUACACAACAUAUUUAAGAGUAAAUUACACGAAUACUCCCUAUGGUUUUGGGUAAUUUGCGCGUUUGGUCCCUAACUUAUUUUUUUAACUCAAAAGGUCCCUACUUUUUGUUUUUGUUACGCACUUGGUCCCUGUCUUUCCUAAAAAAAGACUAUUUUGCCAUUGUUUUUUUGAUUUAUUUAAAUAAACACACCUCCAAUCCCAUCCUCUCAUCUUACCUUACCCACGCCACUAUUUUUCACUAUUUAAAUAACAGUCUUUUUAGGUAAGAUAGGGACCAAAUGUGUAACAAAAAUAAAUAGUAGGGACCAAGCGCGUAACGAAAACAAACACUAGGGACUUUCCGACUUAAAAAAAUAAGUUAGGGACCAAGCGUGCAUAUUAACCCAAACCAUAGGGAUCAUUCGCGUAAUUUACUCCAUAUUUAAAUAUAGGUAUAGCU
Lactuca sativa (garden lettuce) is the source of this 1662-nucleotide non-coding RNA. Lineage: Eukaryota; Viridiplantae; Streptophyta; Magnoliopsida; Asterales; Asteraceae. The record is from RefSeq and is a predicted model, not a curated record.